Long non-coding RNA from Esox lucius (northern pike), 1256 nucleotides. Lineage: Eukaryota; Metazoa; Chordata; Actinopteri; Esociformes; Esocidae. The record is from Ensembl.
GUGCAUUUUAUGACAGGAAAUAAAGAGAGAUUUGUUGAAAGGGCAGUGGGAUGGAUAUAAACCCAUGUGCACAGGAGGCAAUGUUUGGAUCACCUUAGGCCAAGGAACUCUCUAUCUUAUCAGUCUAUUAACUAACUUAAAGCCUGGUGAGGUCACCAGGUAGGUACAAUCUCCAGUCCACCAAACAUGCAGAAUUUCAGACGGUCUUAUCAAACAGCUCCAUAACUUAAACGGCCAUCGUUUCCAAAAUGUCAGAGUAUAAUUCCAAUAUCAUAUUGGAAUUAUACUGCAUAUAAAACACUGUAAACAUUUCUUAUUGACUGCACUGGGACUUUAAAUGUGGAAUCAACACUCUAAACAAAGCGGACUUGGUAAAAGUCUGUUCUGUUCGAAUUGCACUGUAUUUAGAUGAUGUGUCAUCUUGUGGAAUCUUCAUGGUUGCCUCCCAUUGGUCAAUGGCUGCUGUUUAUCCUACUCCAAGCUGAGACUGAUGGGAUAGUGAUUUGUGACUCAGUAAAAUUCUCUCUGUGACCACAAUGCAGUAGGGAUUUAUGGAAGUGCCUGAUGUUAUUGUUUCUGUAGAGCUUUUACUGCUUGUACACAUGCGUCUACAAGCACAUGCACGUACACGCGCGUGCGUGCAUCCGCGUGCGUAUACACACACACACACACACACACACACACACACAGAAACUCAAAGAUAAGAAUGCAACACUAACUGCGCCCCUCUUUUUGGAUGUUUAUUCAUCUUAAUCUUUAGGCUUGAAGUAAGAGGUAUGCCAGGGAGGGGAGAAAUAUACUGAGAAAGAGAGUAUUGUGUAUUUCUAGUCCUUAUUUUUCUAUAUCAAUUUGUAUUUAUUCUUUGAAUUAGAAUCCUUGUGUAUUAGUAAAUGCAGAGGAACUAACUGAACAGUUUUUUUUAUACUCUGUAGUUUUGAUGACUUUAUGAACUGAUGAUGUAGCCAUGUCAAUGCUCAUAUUUGAUAUUAUUGCAAAAUGUGGUUGGUUGCUUCUGCUGCUGCUGCUUAAAUAUUGACUGCUGAGCAAAGAAAUGUUGCACUUUAUGGCUUAUGGUUUAAUCUGAAGUUAUGUAAUGAAUCUACAAAAAAAAUCCAGUUUAUAGUCAGUCAGUGUCAAAAGCUAGUUAUCCAUCCAAUAACAACAGAUUAUGUGAAUUUAGAAAAGUAUGCAUAAAGAAAUAUGCAAAUUAUUCCACCAAUGGUUUCCAUCAAACAGACUUGUUGCAGAUAAAAGCA